RNAcentral lists this ribosomal RNA (253 nucleotides) under uncultured bacterium. RNAcentral's name for it is "partial 16S ribosomal RNA". It matches the Rfam family "Bacterial small subunit ribosomal RNA", at positions 524 to 776 of the family's 1533-position model. The record is from RNAcentral.
UACGUAGGGGGCAAGCGUUGUCCGGAUUUAUUGGGCGUAAAGAGCGUGUAGGCGGCCAUGUAGGUCCGUUGUGAAAACUCGAGGCUCAACCUCGAGACGCCGAUGGAAACCAUGUGGCUAGAGUCCGGAAGAGGAGAGUGGAAUUCCUGGUGUAGCGGUGAAAUGCGCAGAUAUCAGGAAGAACACCCGUGGCUAAGGCGGCUCUCUGGGACGUGACUGACGCUGAGACGCGAAAGCGUGGGGAGCAAACAGG